RNA transcript from Nyctereutes procyonoides (raccoon dog), 7031 nucleotides. It is a transcript of the gene named coiled-coil domain containing 91, with no coding region annotated. The record is from RefSeq and is a predicted model, not a curated record. The transcript has 15 exons. Lineage: Eukaryota; Metazoa; Chordata; Mammalia; Carnivora; Canidae.
GGAAAAGUGCAAUUUCCAUUGUGAACUGCCUUCCAGAAUUUAUGGUAGACCUUCGCUGAUGUUGCUACUGGUGCCAAUGUGGAAUAAAGUAUCUGGAGUCCAUCUUUCUCCAGCUUCUCCUGAGAUUGUACUAGACCAUGACCACUCUCCUUCAGUUGGCUGCCUCUCUUCUGAGCCCAUCAUUUCAUCACCAGAGAAUACACAUGCAGACAACAGCAUUGUCAGUCAAACUGUUUCCAAAGCACAGAUUCAGCAAUCAACACACACUCAUCUGGAUAUCUCACUUUUUCCAUUGGGUUUAAAUGAUGAGAAUAGUAAUGGAACAAUUGCCCUUGUGGAUGAUUCUGAGGAUCCUGGAGCCAAUGUAUCAAACAUACAGCUUCAGCAGAAAAUUUCAAGUCUGGAGAUUAAACUCAAAGUUUCUGAAGAAGAAAAACAGAGAAUUAAAAAGGAUGUGGAAUCAUUGAUGGAAAAGCACAGUGUCUUAGAAAAAGAUUUUCUUAAAGAAAAAGAGCAAGAGGCCAUUUCUUUUCAAGAUAGAUACAAAGAACUUCAGGAAAAACAUAAACAAGAAUUGGAAGACAUGAGGAAAGCUGGUCACGAAGCUCUCAGCAUUAUUGUGGAUGAAUAUAAGGCACUACUACAGUCUUCAGUUAAGCAGCAAGUAGAAGCUAUUGAAAAACAGUACAUUUCUGCAAUUGAGAAACAAGCACACAAGUGUGAAGAGCUGUUAAAUACUCAGCAUCAGAGACUCCUUGAAAUGCUAGAUACAGAGAAGGAACUAUUAAAAGAAAAAAUAAAGGAAGCUUUGAUUCAGCAAUCUCAAGAACAGAAGGAUAUACUGGAAAAAUGUUUGGAAGAAGAAAGGCAAAGAAAUAAAGAGGCAUUAGUAUCUGCUGCAAAGCUUGAGAAAGAAGCAAUGAAGGAUGCAGUUUUAAAAGCCAUAGAAGAAGAAAGAAAAAGUCUGGAAAAAGCCCAUGCUGAAGAAAGGGAGUUAUGGAAGACUGAGCAUGCAAAAGAUCAAGAAAAAGUAUCUCAGGCAAUUCAAAAAGCUAUACAAGAACAAAGAAAAAUAAGUCAGGAAACUGUUAAGGCAGCAAUAAUAGAAGAGCAGAAGCGAAGUGAAAAGGCUGUGGAAGAGGCAGUGAAGAGAACAAGAGACGAAUUGAUAGAGUAUGUAAAAGAACAGAAAAGAAAGCCUGCACAUGGACGUUUGCAUCAACUCGAUUCAUAAUUGUAAAAACCUGGAAGCAAACAAGAUGCCCUUCAGGAGGCAGGCCGGGAAGCGUCGUGCGGCCUGCAGCCCCCGCUUGGCCCUGCAGCUUGGUCUCCCCUGGCCCUAGCUCCCAAGCAACACACAAAGAAAACGUGGCUGCACUUUCAGUGCCCGUGGCCCCAUUCCUGGGGCUUCUCACAGUGGCCCCAGGAAGCACCGACCGCCGUGGGCUCACAGGGCUUUUCUGGGAGAGGCAGAGAAUGUAAUGAUUCGGACCCCACAGUUACCCAGAUGUACCGAGACGCUUACUUGUGUGAUGCCAAAAAAUGAGAUACGACAGCCAGAGCUUGCUUCAGUCCCCUCCGACAAAGAGAGGAUGCAUCUUCAUGGUGAUCUCAGCACUUCUGAUGCCAUUUGGAAAUUUGGAAACAGCUUGAUUAUAUUUGUGAGCCAUAACUUGAUCUCAGUCAUCUCCGAAGCUAUUUCCGGGAGAAGCCUGGCCUUUCUCAGUAAUCAGGAAUCAAAUUCUUGACCUUGAAGAUGGGAGAAAGAACAGAAUGCUUCUUGGUACCACUAUCAGCUGGAUGAAAUUUGAAAACAUCCCCCAGGAUAAAAAGGGGGACAUGCACGGAUAUUUGUACUGCUUUUACCAAUAUCUAGGACGAACUUGGAGCCAGUAGGCUGGUGGUACUCCAGAAAAAGAGAAAACCGAGUCGGAAGCUUGGGAACACACGCCCGAGCCCAGGGCUCAGAUGCAAGGGUCAUCAGGCAUCAGGACUCUGAGUUGAGACCAGAAUGAAAAGUGGUCAGCAUCACUUUCAAUGACGGUUUACCAAACCACCUUUGUAUUCACCCUUUUAAUUUAGGGUCCCCAAAGUAUGGUCCUGUUCUUAUGCUCUCAUAAACUUCAGUAAAACCAGGAAGUAAACAAGUGUUUAUUGAACUGACUUACAGGAAGGAAUGAAAGAAUGGUGGUCUCCUUAAUCAUUUCAGGAAAUUUGAAUAUUAACCUAAAUGAAUUUCUAAGUAGUAGAGGCAGUGGGAAGAAAAUGUUUGGGAGCAAGAGCCUCUUUCUAAAAGCAAAGAGACUAGGGUCAUAAACUCAUCUCUUUUCUCCCCCACUUCCUCCUCCACCUCCCUCCACAUAAUAUCCUUCUUGGUGGCAGGUAUAGGACAUCCAUCUGUGCUAUUUUCCUCUUCCAUCAGGUUCUUGCCUGGUGCCUGGAACCCACACUGCUCUGUCUUCAUCCAUUAGUAAGAACGAGGAAAUUGCCUACUGAACAACAGUUCUACUUAGAUAUCCUAGAGGGACUAUAAAUGCCAUCUGAAAAAAAUCACUCCCUACACCCAUACCUGCUGAAGGACCUCUGUUAUCAUGGUAUCAUUGCCCAGUUGGCCAAGUGAAGAGUUUGGAGAUACUUGGUUCCCUAGGUGGUACUUAAGCUACCAUGAAGGUUUGCGUAGGGGUUUGUAUGCAGUGUGAAGCGUGGGGGGAAGAGGUGUUUUGGAAAACAGAGACUGUGUCUCAAUGACAGUGACAAUGUUUCCAUACUGAAGCACCGUAAUGCAUGUGGAUGUUUCAGAAACAGAAUAAGGUUGUGCCAGACAGACACGAAGCCCGGAAGCACCAUGGUUCCUUUCUCCUAUAACAAGCAACCAACAACAAGCAGUCCAACAAGCAAACCAAAAAGUAAUUGGAACCAAUUCAUAUUUUUCCUCAGUUUCUCAGGAGAUGGUCAAAGGUGGGCUGGCAUAGAUGAAGUAUGUUUUCAUGCCCAAGAAAAGUAGCAACCUGUUGCACAAAUCCAUUCUCCCCUUAUUCACCAUGCUUCACACUCAUCGCUCCCUAAUAUCUUCUAAAAUUCCCCCCACUCUCAACUCCCAACUUCAAUUCUCAUUCUCUUUCCAAUAUAUAUCUUCCAGCUUCUACAGAUUACCCCCAGCUAUUAACUUACACCAAACUUCAUAAUAAGGCCCAGGUGAAUGUGUGUGUCUGCUUUGGUAGGGAGCCUCUCCUGGAGUGACGAAAAUGGGCUGAUUCAUUCACUUUGUCUCUGCCUGCCACGCUCCUCCUCCAGCUAUCUGCAUGACUUUCUUAAAACCCCCACUACCGAAAACACACAAACAAAAAAGCCAAAGAAGAAAAAGAAAGCCAAACUUGAAAAUAAAAAGGUGAGUAGUUUGUCUUUUCAGUGUGCCUUAGGUACCUUGUUUAAUAGGCUCACACAAGGAUGGUUUAGGGAGAUGUACUCUAUUUGACUCACUGUUUACUAGUGAUUAAAAGGCCUAGAGGUAGUGAAGUUUCUCGUUAGUUUGUAGAUUUUUUUCCAGGAGACACCAAAUAAUCUCUGUUAGAAAGAGAAUUUCCAAGAAUAUAGUUUAUAUCAAAUAUAGUAGGACAUUAACCAGCUUUGUCUCUAAUCUAACAUUUUUUUCUUAGUUGAGCAUUCCAUUAUUAAACGUCCUGUGAAUGCUGGAUUUUUGAAUUCCCUUUAAACCAGUCUUAACAUUUUAUUGAUCCAAUACUAACUACCAAGCAGAAUGAAUUUUUGACAUGUGCCAAUUUUGACAUGUUUCUAUUUAUAUGAGAGUUGCUUUCUGACUUUUUGAAAAUUACACUUUAACAACGCUCAUGGAACCCUAGCUUCCUUCAGAUGCCUGCUCAAAUGAAGCCUUCCUGUGGAGGCUUUCCUUGACCAUGCAAUGGAAAAUAAGACCUUGUGUAGAUACUCAGCAUUUCCUAGCUCCCUUUCUUUGCUUCCCUAUAGCAUUUAUGUCCAUUUGAUUUUUCUUUUGUCUUUAGCCACUAGAAUGGAAGCUCUGUGAAUUUAGGGACUCUACAGCCCACUCCCUGAUCAAUAACUGGCAAAUAACGAGUACUCAAUGAAGAGUGCAUGAAUGAAUUUAAUAUACUACUAUCAGGCAUCCCUGGUCCUCAAAGACUAAUUACAUUGUGUAACAGCCACCCUUAUCAACCCUACACUUGGAAUUAUGGUAAAAGUACUGAAGUUGUAUUUAUUUUUCUGUCUCCAUUGAGUGAUUUCUGGGCCCUUUCGUGAGACUGAUACCUUUGCAAGUUUAGCUUUCAUCUGUUAAUGGGAGCAGUAACACACGUGAGAGGCCAUCUAUAACCUCGCCUGGUGCACUUGGACUUAUCAUAGUAAAGACCAACAUAAAGACCAAUUUCAAGAAGUAAGGCUGUUGUUUGUGUACAGGAGCUUGUUAACACAUGCUAGACUUUGUCCUUGCUGUGGAGACAGUUCUCACGCAGCCCUAGGAUUCCUUGGCACCUUCGGAGGAAAGCAGGUAUGAAAUAUCACUGAAUGUUCACUAUGACAGCUGGGAAGAACAGUCAGAAACUCUUAGUCCCAUCCUUCCUUUUAUAAACAAAGAAACAGAGACUUUGAGAAGUGGAGAAUUUUUAUAAGUUCCCACAGCUCAUAAGUGACAAAACUGGGAUGCAAAUCCAGACUUCCUGACUCCCAGCACCCCAGAGUCUAGAGUCGGGAUCCGGAUAGUACAUACGACAUGAGAUCCUCCCAAAGAUGUGACAAGCCACUGCAAGACUCCAGGCAGAACGUACAAAAGGCAGCCACAAAGAAAUGGAGGAAGAUUUUAGAUCUUUGGGACACUGCCUCUUUGCUUCCUCUAAAUAUUAACUCUCUGACACAAAGCCCCAUGAUUCCGACCCAAGAAAUCACCCUGAUGCUUCAGAUAUUGAGCUAGGAGUAUUCUUAUGGCCACACGAGAUGCCAUGGGAGUUACAUUUAUGCCUAAUAUAAGUAGAUACUAAGCCCAACAUAAAAUCUUUAAAGGCAAAUGUCUUGAAGCAUCACAAUCUAGACUUGGCCUGUGCUUAUAAAGGAAUGAAGGUUUGAUGACUAUAGUGUACUCAUUCAUUCAUUCAUCUCCUCGUUGAUUCAUCCAACGGACCUUAUCGAGUACCUCGUCCAUGACAGGGGAUACAGUGGUGAUCAGGAUAGGCAUGGCCCUGGCUCCCUCAGCACUUACGAUUUCCUGGGUGCAACAGACAUUGAACAAGUAUUUAGAGUAAAUUACGGAGGAACACACCACAGAACUUCACCAGGAACCAAGUGACCAGAUUGAUAUUCUAACUCAGUAGGUUUUGAUGAGGGUAGUUUGGAAAGUGAUGGAGACAUUUGGGGUUAUAAUGCUAGAGGGAAGCUCCUAGCCUUUAGGUACCAGGAAGCAAGGCUGCUGAGUGUCUUGUAUUUUUUUGUCCAGCCCCUCAAUACAGGGAAUUUCUCCUACAUCCUCUGUGACCUCUAAGUCCUUGUUGGACAUUCACAAAGGUGAAAAACCUGCCGAAUUACCCAAGUCUGGACUCGACCUUCACUUACAGGUCUACAUGAAGUAUAUUUGUGUAGCUUAAACAGAUACGGAAUGUUCAAGGAAUGAAUCCAUGCAGAAGAUGACAUCAUGUUUUGUUCAGAACUUACGAGCACCAUCUGCAAUUUCAGAAAAGCAUGCCACUGAUAGAAAUGCUGCCAAGAAAACACAACUCUAUCGGAUUACAUUUAGAGCUACCUUAGGAAGGUGGAGCAAGUGGGUGCAUCAGAAUUCAUUUUAAAAUAUAAAUUAUUUUUUAUUACUCCGUUAUAUUAGGACAAUGUAUUAACUCUAGCUUAUUUUACCUGUGAUUUUCAUUCCUGGCUGGUUUGCAAAGGAAAGUGAACAAGAUCUCAAGGACCAGGCAGAGAAUUGUACUGUUUCUUCUCUCUAGUGUCUACGAAUGCCUUUGAUAGUGUCCCUCAGCUGACAGUUUUUGUGGCUCCCCCUACAGAAUUGGGCAGGACAGAGGUGCUUUCAAGUCUUCUCUUUUCCUGUUUCAAUGACUCUGGCUUGCGAAGAUGAGAGAUUGAGGAGAAACCCAGACAUGUGAAGGGGUAUAGGUGUGACGGCCUACCUCUUUGUGAUUUUUGGCUGCACAAUCCGGAAAGCAUAUAUCCAUCUAGAUUUCUGUUUCCUGGAACACAGCACUCAGAGAAUUUUUGUAACCUGUGUAUGUGCCAUCCAGGAGCUUAGAGUCACAAGAAAGAGUUCAGAUGCCAGAUAGUGGCAGUGAAUACAGAGAGACCCAGGAGCCCACAAGCACAGAACAUCAGCCUUUUUUCCAGUUCUACCUAUGACUCCACUUUUCUGGCUGAGGCAGCACAGGAGAGAGUCCGAAUCAAUGAUGGGCAGACGUACUGCACCGUGGACUGCACGGUGUUUAGAGAGCUUUAGUGUCCCUGGGAAUUUGGCAUCCUCAGCCACCGUGAUGCUCUCAGGCCCUUUCUGAUAACCUCAUAUUUCCUAACCUCCCGCAAAACAAGGGUGUCGCAAUGCAGGUUUUUGUAGCUGGCCAACAAAUUACUUUCUCUAUAGAUGGAAAGAGAUAACAAGACCCUGUUAACUUCAUUUUAUGCCUGUUGCUACACAAAUUCAGCCACUUGAUAGGUUGGACAAGCAAGACAGGACAGGAUCCGGGGAAGACAGGCAUUGAUAAAAGCACAUAGCCCUGGAAGACGGCUGCCCUGGAAGCUUCAACUCCACGUGAACAUAGGACAGACUUGGCCCAUGAGGAAGGACCCCCUGAUGUCUACAGUAGCUUGUAGUUAUCAAGCCACCAGUUUGCCUUCUUAAAGAAGUCUGACUGAAGAACUAGACUCACCUUAGAUGACGGUUUGUUGGGGCACCUGGGUGGCUCAGUGGGUUAAGUGACUGCCUUCCACUCAGGUCAUGAUCCAGCAUCUUUGAGACCUGCAUCAGGCUCCCUGCUCCGUGGGGAGUCUGCUUCUCCCACUGCCCCUCA